Molecule: unclassified non-coding RNA, 306 nt
Filed under: rhizosphere metagenome
Description: partial ribosomal RNA internal transcribed spacer region
Source: RNAcentral
GUAGGUGAACCUGCGGAAGGAUCAUUACCAAAAAAUCCAAUUACCAACCCCUUUUUGUGAACUUUCAGAAUGUAUUUGGGAGAUGUUUGGGUCUGAAGAGUAUCCCUCUUCCUUCACAAAGCUCCCAAUUUUUUUUAUUAACCACUUGACCUUUGUUGGUGGGACUUGAAAGCGGGGAGGCAACUCUUCUUUUUUAUAUUCUAACUAAUUAGGGGUUCAAUACCAAUUUCUUUUUUUUAAAAAUUAUCAUAAAAAAAAAAAUUUAAAAGUUUAAAACAACUUUUAACGGUGGAUCUCUUGGCUCGU